RNAcentral lists this ribosomal RNA (498 nucleotides) under uncultured bacterium. Its description in RNAcentral is "partial 16S ribosomal RNA". It matches the Rfam family "Bacterial small subunit ribosomal RNA", at positions 28 to 507 of the family's 1533-position model. The record is from RNAcentral.
GACGAACGCUGGCGGCGUGCCUAAUACAUGCAAGUCGAACGAGAGCGACCGGUGCUUGCCCUGGUCAAUCUAGUGGCGAACGGGUGAGUAACACGUGGGUAACCUGCCCAUCAGAGGGGGAUAACAUCCGGAAACGGAUGCUAAAACCGCAUAGGUCUUCGAACCGCAUGGUUUGAAGAGGAAAAGAGGCGCAAGCUUCUGCUGAUGGAUGGGCCCGCGGUGCAUUAGCUAGUUGGUGAGGUAACGGCUCACCAAGGCCGUGAUGCAUAGCCGACCUGAGAGGGUGAUCGGCCACAUUGGGACUGAGACACGGCCCAAACUCCUACGGGAGGCAGCAGUAGGGAAUCUUCCGCAAUGGACGCAAGUCUGACGGAGCAACGCCGCGUGAGUGAAGAAGGUUUUCGGAUCGUAAAACUCUGUUGUUAGAGAAGAACAAGUGCUAGAGUAACUGUUAGCGCCUUGACGGUAUCUAACCAGAAAGCCACGGCUAACUACGUG